This 440-nucleotide ribosomal RNA is filed under the name uncultured bacterium. RNAcentral describes it as "partial 16S ribosomal RNA". It matches the Rfam family "Bacterial small subunit ribosomal RNA", at positions 338 to 795 of the family's 1533-position model. The record is from RNAcentral.
CCUACGGGAGGCAGCAGUGGGGGAUAUUGCACAAUGGGGGAAACCCUGAUGCAGCGACGCCGCGUGGGUGAAGAAGCGCCUCGGCGCGUAAAGCCCUGUCAGCAGGGAAGAAAAUGACGGUACCUGAAGAAGAAGCCCUGGCUAACUACGUGCCAGCAGCCGCGGUAAUACGUAGGGGGCAAGCGUUAUCCGGAUUUACUGGGUGUAAAGGGGGCGCAGACGGCGAUGCAAGCCAGGAGUGAAAGCCCGGGGCCCAACCCCGUGACUGCUCUUGGAACUGCGUGGCUAGAGUGCAGGAGGGGCAGGCGGAAUUCCUGGUGUAGCGGUGAAAUGCGUAGAUAUCAGGAGGAACACCGGUGGCGAAGGCGGCCUGCUGGACUGCAACUGACGUUGAGGCCCGAAAGCGUGGGGAGCAAACAGGAUUAGAUACCCCAGUAGUC